AGGGGGGGGGGGGUGUGGGCGGCGGGUGCUAUAAUGCAAGUCGAACGCUUUUUCUUUCACCGGAGCUUGCUCCACCGAAAGAAAAAGAGUGGCGAACGGGUGAGUAACACGUGGGUAACCUGCCCAUCAGAAGGGGAUAACACUUGGAAACAGGUGCUAAUACCGUAUAACACUAUUUUCCGCAUGGAAGAAAGUUGAAAGGCGCUUUUGCGUCACUGAUGGAUGGACCCGCGGUGCAUUAGCUAGUUGGUGAGGUAACGGCUCACCAAGGCAACGAUGCAUAGCCGACCUGAGAGGGUGAUCGGCCACACUGGGACUGAGACACGGCCCAGACUCCUACGGGAGGCAGCAGUAGGGAAUCUUCGGCAAUGGACGAAAGUCUGACCGAGCAACGCCGCGUGAGUGAAGAAGGUUUUCGGAUCGUAAAACUCUGUUGUUAGAGAAGAACAAGGAUGAGAGUAAAAUGUUCAUCCCUUGACGGUAUCUAACCAGAAAGCCACGGCUAACUACGUGCCAGCAGCCGCGGUAAUACGUAGGUGGCAAGCGUUGUCCGGAUUUAUUGGGCGUAAAGCGAGCGCAGGCGGUUUCUUAAGUCUGAUGUGAAAGCCCCCGGCUCAACCGGGGAGGGUCAUUGGAAACUGGGAGACUUGAGUGCAGAAGAGGAGAGUGGAAUUCCAUGUGUAGCGGUGAAAUGCGUAGAUAUAUGGAGGAACACCAGUGGCGAAGGCGGCUCUCUGGUCUGUAACUGACGCUGAGCUCGAAAGCGUGGGGAGCGAACAGGAUUAGAUACUCUGGGUAGUCCACGCCGUAAACGAUGAGUGCUAAGUGUUGGAGGGUUUCCGCCCUUCAGUGCUGCAGCAAACGCAUUAAGCACUCCGGCUUGGGGAGUACGACCGCAAGGUUGAAACUCAAAGGAAUUGACGGGGGCCCGCCCAGCGGUGGAGCAUGUGGUUUAAUUUCGAAGCAACGCGAAGAAUCUUUACCAAGUCUUGACAUCCUUUGACCACUUCUAGAGUAAAGCUUCCCUUCGGGGCAAAUGACAGGUGGUGCAUGGUGUCGUCACUCGGUCCGGGAAUGUUGNUAAGUCCCGCAACGAGCGCAACCUUUAUGGUAGUUGGCAUNUNUAUUGGGNAUCUNNGCGAGACUGGCCGUGACAACGGAGAAGGUGGGAUGAACGCUAAUCAUCAUGGCCUAUGAACUUGGGCUU
This 1207-nucleotide ribosomal RNA is filed under the name Enterococcus sp. RNAcentral describes it as "bacterial SSU rRNA". It matches the Rfam family "Bacterial small subunit ribosomal RNA", at positions 21 to 1216 of the family's 1533-position model. The record is from RNAcentral. Lineage: Bacteria; Bacillati; Bacillota; Bacilli; Lactobacillales; Enterococcaceae.